Long non-coding RNA from Austrofundulus limnaeus, 460 nucleotides. RefSeq lists it as uncharacterized. Lineage: Eukaryota; Metazoa; Chordata; Actinopteri; Cyprinodontiformes; Rivulidae. The transcript is spliced from 3 exons. The record is from RefSeq and is a predicted model, not a curated record.
GUUACCAGGAUUUUGCUCGAGAGUUGCUGAGGGUGUUCUGUCCCAUUUUACCCCACAAGGAGUCCACCAGAGGAUUACUGAACCUCAAACAAGGUAAUAAAAGAGUAACUGAAUUCAUCAAUGACUUUCAUACACUGGCAGUUGACAGCAGAUGGAAUGAAGAGGCCCUCCAGGAUGUUUUCCUCCAGGCACUUAAUGAAGACAUCAAAGACRAGUUGGCAGCCCGAGACCCUCCUCAAUCCCUACGUGAACUUGAAGAUCUUGCCACCCGGAUUGACUUGAGGUUACAUGAGCGAAGACACACUAAAAAAGGAUUGUCGGUGACAUCGUGUUGCUCCGGAACCAAACAGACACAGUUGGUGUUUCCACACGGAGGCUUCCAGUUGACACCAGAAAACCGGACCCGCGCACCUGGGUUGUUCCAGCUCCACAUCAGCAAUUUUAUUAAAACUUGUAAACC